Molecule: ribosomal RNA, 250 nt
Filed under: uncultured bacterium
Lineage: Bacteria
Description: partial 16S ribosomal RNA
Rfam family: Bacterial small subunit ribosomal RNA
Source: RNAcentral
AACGUAGGAGGCAAGCGUUAUCCGGAUUUAUUGGGCGUAAAGCGCGUGCAGGCUGUUUGGAAAGUUGGAUGUGAAAGCUCCUGGCUUAACUGGGAGAGGUCGUUCAAAACUACCAAACUAGAGAAUGGGAGAGGGAAGUGGAAUUCCGGGUGUAGUGGUGAAAUGCGUAGAUAUCCGGAGGAACACCAGUGGCGAAAGCGGCUUCCUGGACCAUUUCUGACGCUUAGACGCGAAAGCUAGGGGAGCGAAC